Molecule: long non-coding RNA, 219 nt
Filed under: Brassica napus (rape)
Lineage: Eukaryota; Viridiplantae; Streptophyta; Magnoliopsida; Brassicales; Brassicaceae
Description: long non-coding RNA (BNAP_LNC009988)
Source: RNAcentral
UGGCAGAGAAGCUAGAUCUUGACUGGGAGACAAUAUCUAGAAUCUCAUUCCAUUCGACUGUGAAACCCUCCUUCAGAAUCCCUCCAAUUAGUUCCUUCCACACCUUACUCGAGUAACGACAUUUGAAAAAGAGAUGAUGACAGGUUUCCUGCUCAUCUUGGCAUAGUACACAAGUGGUAUCCAAUGAAGUGUUCCACUGCUGCAUUCUAUCACAGGUUU